Molecule: long non-coding RNA, 653 nt
Organism: Passer domesticus (house sparrow)
Lineage: Eukaryota; Metazoa; Chordata; Aves; Passeriformes; Passeridae
Exons: 3
Source: RefSeq, a predicted model, not a curated record
CUGGAAAGGUAAUAGAGGGAGACAAGCUGGCUUUUAAAGCCACUAUCAGAUAUUGUUAGCGAGGAUGGUGUGAGCAAACCCAGUUGCUGUCUGGUGCCGGAGGGCUGCUGGAGCCUCCCAGAACCCUCCGAAUGCUGCUCCGUGCAGCCAAACCCGGAGUGCCAGACAUCAGAUGGCGAGAGGCAGCAGCUGCGGCAAUAGUUUCUGGCUUCUGGCAAGGAAAACAGAUGAGCAAAUAUUCUCUGUCUUGAAGUUAAAUGCAUUGCUGCAGCAAAAGGCCUCUCCAGCUUUCCAGCUACCAUGAAUCCUGAGCCUACUCUUAAACUGAGCAACAUUGUUUUUCACAUUGUGUUACCAGAGAUACCAGUGAGAUACUCAAGGAAGAGAGCCCGCCUACAAAGCCUCAGUCAUCACGUACAGAAAUUAUGUGAUGGAUGAAGGAUAUUUUCUCUUACCCCAUUAUAAACACUCUUGCCAGUGAUGAUGGCCUUUAUGUGUCUCUGAAAUAAAAGUUGAACCCAGCAAAAUGGAGUAAAAAUGUGUGUGUACAUUUACACGGCACAGAGACAACGUGUAUUAGCAAUUGCUGUGCUGGGAGAGCUGUGAAGCUGAGCUGCAAGCUCACAGUCAUAGAAGACAGUCCCUUCCUGGGU